This 508-nucleotide ribosomal RNA is filed under the name uncultured bacterium. Its description in RNAcentral is "partial 16S ribosomal RNA". It matches the Rfam family "Bacterial small subunit ribosomal RNA", at positions 30 to 523 of the family's 1533-position model. The record is from RNAcentral.
AUUGAACGCUGGCGGCAUGCCUUACACAUGCAAGUCGAACGGCAGCGGGGGAGAAGCUUGCUUUUCCUGCCGGCGAGUGGCGAACGGGUGAGUAAUACAUCGGAACGUGCCCUGUAGUGGGGGAUAACUAGUCGAAAGAUUAGCUAAUACCGCAUACGACCUGGGGGUGAAAGUGGGGGACCGCAAGGCCUCAUGCUAUAGGAGCGGCCGAUGUCUGAUUAGCUAGUUGGUGGGGUAAAGGACUACCAAGGCGACGAUCAGUAGCUGGUCUGAGAGGACGAUCAGCCACACUGGGACUGAGACACGGCCCAGACUCCUACGGGAGGCAGCAGUGGGGAAUUUUGGACAAUGGGCGAAAGCCUGAUCCAGCAAUGCAGCGUGUGUGGAGAAGGCCUUCGGGUUGUAAAGCACUUUUGUCCGGAAAGAAGUGGCUCUGGUUAAUACCUGGGGUCGAUGACGGUACCAGAAGAAUAAGGACCGGCUAACUACGUGCCAGCAGCCGCAGUAA